GGCCUGAUGGUCUAGGAGUAUGAUUCAUUGUUAGGGUUGAUUACAUUGUUACUAUUCUUUUGACGAGGUCCCGGGUUCAAUUCCCGGUCAGGCCC
This 95-nucleotide transfer RNA is filed under the name Rhodocollybia butyracea. RNAcentral describes it as "tRNA-Pro". Lineage: Eukaryota; Fungi; Basidiomycota; Agaricomycetes; Agaricales; Omphalotaceae. The record is from RNAcentral.